RNAcentral lists this unclassified non-coding RNA (285 nucleotides) under Trichosporiella sp. RNAcentral's name for it is "partial contains 5.8S ribosomal RNA, internal transcribed spacer 2, and large subunit ribosomal RNA". The stretch from base 1 to 52 matches the Rfam family "5.8S ribosomal RNA", at positions 103 to 154 of the family's 154-position model. Lineage: Eukaryota; Fungi; Ascomycota; Leotiomycetes; Helotiales; Dermateaceae. The record is from RNAcentral.
AACGCACCUUGCGCUCCUUGGUAUUCCGAGGAGCAUGCCUGUUUGAGUGUCAUUAAAUUCUCAACUUCACCUGGUUUUACUAUCAGAUGAAGCUUGGACUUUGGAGUGUGCCGGCUUGCAAAAGUCGGCUCCUCUUUAAAUGCAUUAGCGGACCCUUUGUGGAUAGGCUUCGAUUUGAUAAUUAUCUAUGUCGUCGCCGUGAAGCAUGAAUCCGCUUCUAACCGUCCUUUGGACAACUUUUGACAUUUUGACCUCAAAUCAGGUAGGACUACCCGCUGAACUUAA